This 433-nucleotide ribosomal RNA is filed under the name uncultured bacterium. Its description in RNAcentral is "partial 16S ribosomal RNA". It matches the Rfam family "Bacterial small subunit ribosomal RNA", at positions 29 to 507 of the family's 1533-position model. The record is from RNAcentral.
AGCGAACGCUGGCGGCAGGCUUAACACAUGCAAGUCGAGCGGGCACUUCGGUGUCAGCGGCAGACGGGUGAGUAACACGUGGGAACGUACCCUUUGGUUCGGAAUAACGCUGGGAAACUAGCGCUAAUACCGGAUACGCCCUUUUGGGGAAAGGCUUGCUGCCGAAGGAUCGGCCCGCGUCUGAUUAGCUAGUUGGUGGGGUAAUGGCCUACCAAGGCGACGAUCAGUAGCUGGUCUGAGAGGACGAUCAGCCACACUGGGACUGAGACACGGCCCAGACUCCUACGGGAGGCAGCAGUGGGGAAUAUUGGACAAUGGGCGCAAGCCUGAUCCAGCCAUGCCGCGUGAGUGAUGAAGGCCUUAGGGUUGUAAAGCUCUUUUGUCCGGGACGAUAAUGACGGUACCGGAAGAAUAAGCCCCGGCUAACUUCGUG